Molecule: ribosomal RNA, 468 nt
Filed under: uncultured bacterium
Lineage: Bacteria
Description: partial 16S ribosomal RNA
Rfam family: Bacterial small subunit ribosomal RNA
Source: RNAcentral
GACGAACGCUGGCGGCGUGCUUAACACAUGCAAGUCGAACGGAAAGGCCCUGCUUUUGUGGGGUGCUCGAGUGGCGAACGGGUGAGUAACACGGGAGUAACCUGCCCUGGACGUGGGGAUAACUUCAGGAAACUGGGGCUAAUACCGGAUAGGAGCUCCUGCCGCAUGGUGGGGGUUGGAAAGUUUCGGCGGUUGGGGAUGGACUCGCGGCUUAUCAGCUUGUUGGUGGGGUAGUGGCUUACCAAGGCUUUGACGGGUAGCCGGCCUGAGAGGGUGACCGGCCACAUUGGGACUGAGAUACGGCCCAGACUCCUACGGGAGGCAGCAGUGGGGAAUAUUGCACAAUGGGCGGAAGCCUGAUGCAGCAGCGCCGCGUGCGGGAUGACGGCCUUCGGGCUGUAAACCGCUUUCGCUUGUGACGAAGCGUGAGUGACGGUAAUGGGUAAAGAAGCACCGGCUAACUACGUG